This 307-nucleotide ribosomal RNA is filed under the name Bacillus sp. B19V. RNAcentral's name for it is "bacterial SSU rRNA". It matches the Rfam family "Bacterial small subunit ribosomal RNA", at positions 60 to 355 of the family's 1533-position model. The record is from RNAcentral. Lineage: Bacteria; Bacillati; Bacillota; Bacilli; Caryophanales; Bacillaceae.
AGUCGAGCGAAUGGAUUAAGAGCUUGCUCUUAUGAAGUUAGCGGCGGACGGGUGAGUAACACGUGGGUAACCUGCCCAUAAGACUGGGAUAACUCCGGGAAACCGGGGCUAAUACCGGAUAACAUUUUGAACCGCAUGGUGCGAAAUUGAAAGGCGGCUUCGGCUGUCACUUAUGGAUGGACCCGCGUCGCAUUAGCUAGUUGGUGAGGUAACGGCUCACCAAGGCAACGAUGCGUAGCCGACCUGAGAGGGUGAUCGGCCACACUGGGACUGAGACACGGCCCAGACUCCUACGGGAGGCAGCAGU